Molecule: ribosomal RNA, 492 nt
Filed under: uncultured bacterium
Lineage: Bacteria
Description: partial 16S ribosomal RNA
Rfam family: Bacterial small subunit ribosomal RNA
Source: RNAcentral
AGUGAACGCUGGCGGUAGGCCUAACACAUGCAAGUCGAACGGCAGCACAGUAAGAGCUUGCUCUUACGGGUGGCGAGUGGCGGACGGGUGAGGAAUACAUCGGAAUCUACUUUUUCGUGGGGGAUAACGUAGGGAAACUUACGCUAAUACCUCAUACGACCUACGGGUGAAAGCAGGGGAUCUUCGGACCUUGCGCGAUUGAAUGAGCCGAUGUCGGAUUAGCUAGUUGGCGGGGUAAAGGCCCACCAAGGCGACGAUCCGUAGCUGGUCUGAGAGGAUGAUCAGGCACAAUGGAACUGAGACACGGUCCAGACAACUACAGGAGGCAGCAGUAGGGAAUAUUGAACAAUGAGGGCAAGAAUGAUCAAGCCAUACCGCGUGGGUGAAGAAGGCCUUCGGGUUGUAAAGCACUUUUGUUGGGAAAGAAAAGCAGCAGGUUAAUACCACGCUGUUAUGACGGUACCCAAAGAAUAAGCACCGGCUAACUUAGUG